UGCUAUUCACAACCACACAUGCACUCUCAUGCACAGAACACAGACCUUCUAGGAUUCUCUGGACUCAGCCCUGGACUGUAGUUGUUCCUGGAUCUUCCCUGUGCUCUGCUUCCAGCCCACUGGCCAGCCCUGGCCCUUGCCCCUGUCCGACCCUGUACAGGGCUGGAAAAAGGAUGGAUAGUCUUCUACAGACAACACAAAGCACAGAUCAAAAGGGCAGUUCACAAACUGCAUAAUCAGAAAAGAGGAAGCAAUCUCAGUGCGAGCCUUUUAGUGAUAGAAACUCGAGCUCAGGUAUUGUCAAAAUUACUUACAAUUUGUUUUCAAGUCCUGUCUGUUAGAUUUCCCUCGCCUUAGAUGGCUCUAACUGGUGAUGACACAAGCCCCGCCUAUGAUGUCACAAACUCCCCCAAUCCCGAGCCACUACUCGCUCAAUCCCGCCCCAGCUCCUGCAAGCCCCGCCCCAGUCCUAUAAGAAGCCUCCCUGUUUGAGCCAUGUUGCUCGCUGUCCUUUGUUCUGAGACAGCCCAGCAGCCCCUCCCCAUAAUAAAGGCUUGUUAUGGUUCUGAUCUGGUCCUGGUUUUUGGCUCUUUUUACCUCUCUGGUGCCAAAACCCAGGAGGAAGGCAGUCGAUUAAGCGACUGUCCCCGUGGGCUGGGGUCCAUUGGCCUUUCAGCCACCUCCUCCAGACCACAUCGGGGAGCCAGGACCUCCUCUGGGCUUCCUACCUCUGCCAAUACUGACGACUCACACCCACCGCGGUCACUUCCUUCAGGGUCUUCCAACAUAUUGUUUAUGGCAAUAACCUUUUGAUCCAGGUGUUCUCCCUUCUCUUCUGCUCCACCUACUCAGGAUUACAGGUACAUUUGUAGGCCCAUACGCUUUCCUUAGAUGAUAUCAAAAGAUAAUAACUUGAGUAAGAGUUUCCAUUUUUUUGUUUUUAUGUGUUUUUAGAGGGAAAUAAAUACAUUUAAUGAUAGCUAUUCUAUACUAAAAUACAUAUCUGUUUGUUGCAAAGAUAAUGUCACCAUGAUUGUCA
RNAcentral lists this long non-coding RNA (1039 nucleotides) under Fukomys damarensis (Damara mole-rat). RNAcentral's name for it is "lncRNA (ENSFDAG00000025005.1)". Lineage: Eukaryota; Metazoa; Chordata; Mammalia; Rodentia; Bathyergidae. The record is from RNAcentral.